This 9111-nucleotide long non-coding RNA is filed under the name Populus tremula. Its description in RNAcentral is "long non-coding RNA (PTRE_LNC000674)". Lineage: Eukaryota; Viridiplantae; Streptophyta; Magnoliopsida; Malpighiales; Salicaceae. The record is from RNAcentral.
CAUCUCUUUCUCCUUUUGAAAUCAAAAGCCAGCGCCACCCCUUCUCCCCUCAUCACAGUUCUCUCCCGUUUUUUUUCCAGCCCUCACUGUCUCCCUCGCCCCUCUCUCGGCCACGCCUCUAUUUUCGGUUGAAAAUCAGAGGGACCUUCCCGAUUCCCACAAAUCUUCCCCUCUCAGCCGUUUCUCCUUCAACCAAUUAGCAGCAGCCCUUCUUCGGCCGGCCAGCACCAGACCAUCCUCACUCCGGACCAUCGGUCUCUCCUCCACCACAGAGCAGUCCCCAUCAUCUCCUCAGACCACCACGGAUCUGCCCCCCAGUAGCAACCUCGCCGCCACCGAUCUGUCCAUUCCUCCGCCUCAACGCCGCCAGCAACCUCGCCCAUCUCCGCAACAGCUCCAGUGGCCGCGGGCUGCAGAAGACAAAGCCAUAGCAAACCGACCCACCUGAAACAGAAAAGGGAAGAGGCAGAGAAACAGAGUGGAUCCAAAAAACCGAAUCAGAUUUCAAAGACAAAAUGAAAUAAAAAAACUAAAAUCAACUGUUUGUUGUGGCUUUGGUUAUUUUUUUCAGGUCAUCGCCGGUAGAAAAACGAAGAGGGGAGGAAGCCACUCAACCCCCUGCUCCACGAUUUUUUUUUGGGCGGCGCGUGAAACCACGCGCCGCCAGUGGCGGCGGUGCGUGAGAUCCACGCGCCGCCCCUGUUCAGAUGGCACCAAGGCUGUGCAGCACUGUUCCUGAGGAUUUCCUUUUUUCCUUUUUGUAAUUUCUAGAUGCUGUGUGUAUUUAAAUAUUAUUGUAUUUGAUUUGUUUUGAAUUUUUGUUAUUUGUUUUAUUGUAUAAAUGUGAUGUAAAAUAAAAAAGAAAAGAGAAGAAAAAAAAUAAAUAAUAAAAAGAAAGUUGUGUGUUUGUUUGUUUUUUUAUAUUUUUUUUUAUUUAUGUUAUUAAAAAAUAAAAAAGGAAAAAAAGAAUUAAUUGUUAAUUUAAAUAUGGUUAAAUAUCUUAAGGACAAAUAAAAUCAAGUUGUAUUUUCCAUGAAAAUGUAAGAACAAGUUUUUUACAUAUAUUCGAGGAUUUAAUAACUGAUUUAUUCAAGCCUUAGAAUUUAAUUAAUAUUUUAAAUUUUCAAAUUACAUUAGAAUACAAAGCAGCUUACCUCAGGUAGGGUGUGUUAGGGGUGUUAAUACCUUCCCUAACCACAACCAGUGCCUUACCCGCGAUUUCUGACAAGACUAGUACAUCAGGUUUUCUAGUAGCCCUCAAUGAAUUACUAGGUGGCGACUCCAACGAACGAAUUCAAAGCAAACGCAACAUACGAGAAAAAUCGCCAGCCGAUGCCGCACGCCGGAUGUUUUUGGGGUGCGACAGGAUGGCGACUCCACUGGGGACAGGUAUUGUUUUCAACUUUAUCGGACUAAGCUUGGUGUUUUGAUGUGUUCAAUUUUUUUUUUGUGCUUUGUUUUAUUUAUUUGUGUUUUAUUCAUGCAUUGUAUAUAUUUCUCUUAUGCAUCACAAGUUUUAAUUUUUAAAAGCACACACCAGCUUUAGGUUAGGUGGGGGACUAGUAGCUUACCUUACGACUUGAGUCAAGGUUUAAGUUUGUGUAAACCCCAACUCUUUGUUGAGUGCUUAGACUGGUAAUAGUUGGACACGUGCCAACCAAUUACCUACUGGGCCCCUAUAUUGCCUUUACGAAGGCGAUCACUGGGACAACAAGAGACCCUUUUAGAGACCAAGUAGCAAACCUACCCUGUCUCACGUAAAAUGAAUAGAGCCUGUCUUAGGAUGUAUGCUAUUGUUUUGCAUCGAGCAAACCCUUCUUGAAGCAUCUUGAACUCAAGACUUGUGGGUGACACAUGCCAUCUCCGAAAAUUUUCAUUGUAGAGUUUGGGCAAAAAUCACGAUUCUUGUCCAUCAUACAAGAGUUACGACCAUAUUGUCACCCUCGAAGGGUGAGUUCGUCAUAUAGAUUACAUAUUCAUACAUUUAUCAUGCAUGUACCGGGUUGAAAAGUAGGUUCCCCCGCACAAGCUGUGCUGCAAGUGAUUGAAGAAAGGAUGGAAGUGAAGAAAGAUGUCAGAUAGAGGCUCAUUAUCAGAUUGAGUUUGAGAGCAUCAAAGGUGAAGUAGCUAGACUCAGAUCUGCUCGAACAAGUGUUGAGCAUCAAAUGGAAAGAGAAUGUCUGCACAGUCUUCUGUGGGAACACUGCUUGUCCACGUCCAAUUGAAGCUGCCUCUCCUUUUCAGUCAUGAACAACAGCAACAAUGCCUUCAGUCAUCAACUAAUGACAACUCUAGUUCUUGUCCAGUUGCACUGUUAAGUGUUCAUCGCCUCCACAUCAUCUAAUGGAACCAAACCACUACUAGCCUCCUGUACAUGGUGCAUUAGUCUGCUUUGAAGUUACCCCAAUUAUGAGCUCAAUUCCAGUUCAGCAGCACAAGAUGUUGGUCUGAAAAACCAUGAUCAGACACUGAACUUCUACGUGGUAGAGCUCUCUCUGUAGAGAUUUAUUUGUGGAUCUGCCAAUGGGAAAUGGAAAAGGGGAUGUAUUAAUUUCAUAUGCUUUGAAACUUUUUCCCACCAGUGGAAUGAGCAAAACAUUGUACUAGGCAGAGGAGUCAGGCCUGGUUUGAAAAUAUGAGUAGUCGUCAAACACCAACGUGUCAAAGCUCUCUCUACAGAAAUCUGUUUAUGAUGCUGCAAGGUGAGAGUGCAAGAGAGGAUUUACUAAUUGCAUAUGCUACAAAUAUUUCUCUCAUCAGUUUCAGCACGAAGACAUCUUAGUAGGUUGAAGAGCCAGACCUGGUCUGAAAAAUAUGAGCAAACAUCAAACUUCAACGUAGCAGAGCUCCCUCAUCAGUAAUCUAUUUGUGGAUCCGCAAGUAGGAAAUCCAAGAAGGAAUACAGUAGUUUCAGAUCAUCUAUGAUUUUCCUCCAACAGUGUCAGUUUUUUAAAAAACACGCAAAAGUAGAGAGAAGAGACAUGCCUAGACUGAAAAAACAUGAAGAAGACUGAAACUUCAACAGAGCAGAACUCCCUCUAUUGGUGCUUGUUUGCUGCACCGUUCGAGAGGAAUCGAAGAAGAAAUAGAGGAGAUUCAUGUUCAUCGUUUUCUCCCAUAGAAGAGAUAAGGCAUGAUUCCACGUGUUGGUAGUGGCGAUACUACAAGUUUUGGGCGCUGCCAAGAUUACCAAGCUGUUGGAAAGUUUUCCAACAAUCCUCAACCAACCACAACAACAUUGGAAGAUUGAAAUGAUGUUGUGAGGAUUUGCCGAAGAAUUGAACAAGCUAUGAAGAGAGGAAAGAUUGAAGGAUCUGCCAUGGAUUCCAGAACAAUGAUGAGAGGUGAAUCAGGAGAUGACUUUGACGGUGUGAACCCUUAAUUAUGUGGUAUAGCCAGGUCUCACGGUAGCAUCAAUUGCUCAAAUGUCUUUGCCAAGAUGGGACAUUCCUCUGCCAUUUAAGUUUGUCGACCAGCAUCUGCCAGAUUCCAGAAUUUUGCUUGACUCCGACAAAUCCCAUGCAACCACCAAUUUCUAGGUGGUAUAAUCCAGAUAAGAGAUGUGAUGUCAUGGUGGGGUCCUCAACCAUUUCAAGUGAACAUUUAAGAAUUGCAAGAAUUGAGUCUGAAAGUUGGUGAGCAAGAGACAAGUGGAGUCGUGAAGGAGGGUGUCAUUGGCUAUAUUGUCCCCGAACAUCUUCAGAAUGACAUGUUGAUCGAAAGUGCUUGGCAAAACGAAAUAUUGCCAGAAAAGCUGAUUCAAGAAUGGUGAUGAAAGUCAAUCAUAUUGUUUUGGAAUUCUGCAUUUUGUUUUGGGAUCACAUCUCAUCCUUCAACGAAACAUGCCUUGCUUUUGUCUCUUUGUUGUUUUGAAAUCAACAGAUGUUUACAUUUUAUUCUGAAAAUAUUUUGAUCAAACUCCAACAUGCGAUAAAGGUUAAUCAAUCCGGAAGAUUAAAAGUGUUUUGAUUGCAGAAAUGACUCGAUGCUUUGAAAAUGACAUGAGGUGACUAAAUAAUUUUGAACUCAUACCUCCUGAAACUGAGCCACACAUCAUAUAGCUAAGUUUUAGCAGUAUGCAUAAUGACAUGUAGUGGAUUUGGUAGUUAUGGACCCGUGAAUCAUUGACUCUUACAAGUCCAAAUCAUUACACUGAAUGAGGUCAAAAUUUAUCGGUUCUAACCGACCUUGCUUGAAAUGAGAAAAGGCCAUCUUUGAUAUCCCUUCACUUUCUAAAGAUUAUAUCCCUUGUAGUCCCAUUUUGAGCUGUAUAGAAUAUUCUUUUCAUAAAAAACCCUGACUAGGAUCACACCCCACACUGGGGGCAAAUGGGAGAUAUUUUGAAGACAUUGCUGUAAUUAAUGGAAAGGGAAGGCUUAGAACAAAAGUCCAAUGAUUGAGAGAGCUAAAAGAAAACACAUAGACUGGGGGCAUAAGAAAAUUUGAGGAAGGCUAUGAGUUGAAUUGCCUUCACUUAAAGACAAGUUAAAAAGAAAUGGAAAAAGAACGCCUAUCAAUUCUAAGAGAGGCAAGGCAGUUUUCAAUUGAGAAAAGACAAUAAAUGCCAAAAGUCAACACUAGAAAAAUCGAUGUUUCAUAUCUUUUGGUGUGUCUAGGAUAAAGCCUCUUAUGUCUUCAAAAAUUUAUUUAGAUUGGUUAUUCAUCAAAGAAAAAGUUGGAUUUGCAUUAUGACUUAUGUUAAUAGAAGUCUGAUCUUUGAGGUUAACAAGGUUAUGUGUUUCUCUACAAUGACAAGAAAGAAAAGAGUGAUGAAUAAUUGAUGUUGAUCCUAGGUUUGAAACCCUCAAACACCUUUUGAGCCUUUGAAAUUCUUUUUUUUUCAUAGCCAUGAACCAUAGCCUGCAUUACGUGCUUUUAAAAGCCCUUUUUAAUCAAGCAAGCAAUCUGAACCGAUAAAUGGCGAUCUCAAAACUUGAAGAGUUUUUCCAUAAGAGUCGUGGCUUCAUGAAUUAAGCUACUGGUUAUUAUGCAUGCUGAUAAAAUAAUAUGCUAGAAAAGAAACAACCUUUCUUGAUAAUCAAGCCUGAGCCUGUUUUUGAAAUUCACAAAUUCACCUCAUCACAGACCAUCAAAAAGAUAUACCCAAAAUCAGAGUUUAAAGUGGACACAAAGAACCAUGAAAAAGUCAUUUUAAAUCUUACAACGGGUCAUUUCUGUUUUCAAAAUACAAGACAAUCAAAGGACUGCAUUGAAUAGUGUGUUGGGUCUUUGACCAAAGAAGUUUGAAUUUCAAAAAAAUAAUUUCAAAAACAGACAUCUCUUGAUUUCAUUUCAACAAUUAGACUUGAAUAGACAUGAUCGUUGAAAUGUGAGAUUUGAUUCCAGAACAAGAAAGAUUUUCAAACAAGAACAUCAUUGAGUUUGCAAAAUCCUUGACAAAAAUGACAUCAACAUUUCUCGACACUCCUUGAAACGUUGACCACCUGGGGGCAAUACAGUGGCCCUUAGAAGAAAAACAAACAACAUUCUGAUCAGCUGGGGCAAAGAAAGAAUCAGAUGAUGAGUCAUCAAAGUCAUGAAAGUUAUGUUUAGCAUCUGACAAUGACAAAGGAAACCUUUUGAGUAUAAACUGAUGAACGAGCAUUCAUAUCAUUGCUAGGGCCAAUGUUGUUCAAAGACAAUCCAUGAUCUAGUGCACUUCAGCAGCAAUUGAUGAGCAACGCUGCACUAGAAAGAUGUUUUCAUAUCUUCAUCUUGGGUUACCCUGUAAAACAUGGCUAUGACUCCUGACAGAUGUUAUUGGGUGAGUGCAUUUGAAUGAACAUCGAACAUAUACAUACCACUAAGAUUGACUAUGGGACCAUCUAUUCUGAAGCUCAAAUGCACACUUCACCGCAUGAAUAUGGGUGAUAACAUGAACAUCAUUGAUGAUGCCAAAGCAGUUAUUUUCACGAUCUAAUUUGACAAGCUAAGAGGAAUCCAUAGAGAAAUACAUCGCGCUUACAAUGAUGAGCUGUUUACUGCAAAGCAUGAGAUCCAUGUCUGGAUGACUUGGCAGUUCCAUGAAGGCUGGUGACCAUACAUACUUGAAUGGUGUUUCAACCGAAGGCAAGUUCAUGACUGAUUAACAAUCUUGAUGGGUGUUGGCAUGAUGCACACAAUCAAUCAAAGGAUAAUUCUCAGAAGAAGCCAGAGAGAAAAUCCUUCAUGAUGAAUCAAGCAGUACCACACUUGGGGGCAGGGUCAAGCUUGAUGAACGAUGCAAGCAGUAAUUGUCGAAGACAGCCCGGGAUGGGCACUGCAUUUACAGCUGAGUGGAUGGCUAGCACAUGAAUGAGCCAAUGCAUCGAAAGAACAAAGAAAGCUUUGGGAUGCAAACAAGGAAACCCUAUGACGAUGGAGCAUCAAGGAGGGGGGGACCUAUAUUUCGAAUCAGGUAAGGAUGCAUGCAUAUCAUCUAACCUCAAAAAAAAAAAAAACCAUUUGCACAUAUUUUUGAAUUGUUACAGGAAAAUCCUUAAUGAGGUCCAGCAAGAUGGUGGAAAGAGAAAGAAGCAUUGUGGUGAUGAUAAUAAAGAAUCGGUUUUGAUCAUGGAAUAAAAGGACGAUGGGAUGAACCUUACCAUUAGGAAAAUCCCAAAGAAAUGAAAAGAUCAACCUUGCAAUUGGGAAGCCUCGAGUUUUCAACCAUUGCAGUAAGGAAACACCGAGUUUUCAAAUCCUAUGAUCGGGAAUUAUCAGGAAGCACCAAGUUUUCCAGCUAUUUUCCUGCCAUCCCCUCAGGACUUCACCAGGUAAGUCCUAUUUUUCACACUUGUCAUAUCACAUUUUUUCCAUCUGGGUAGGUCGCCCAUCAUAAUAAGACCGUUCUUCAUAUUUUUUCCAUCCGGGUAGGUCACCCAUUACAAUGAGACCGCACUUCAUAUUCUUUCUAUUUGGGUAGGUCGCCCAUCACAACGAGACCACUUCAUCAUAUUUUUUCCAUCUGGGUAGGUCACCCAUUACAAUGAGACCACAUUUAAUAUUUUUUCCAUUUUUGGGUAGGUCACCCAUUACAAUGAGACCGCACUUCACAUUCUUUCUAUUUGGGUAGGUCGCCCAUCACAACGAGACCACUUCAUCAUAUUUUUUCCAUCUGGGUAGGUCACCCAUUACAAUGAGACCACACUUCACAUUUUUUCCAUCUUGGGUAGGUCACCCAUCACAAUGAGACCAUCAUCUUUUCUAGGUAGGUCACCCAAAGAAUGAGACCAUUCUCCAUCUUUUUUUUUACCUGGGUAGGUCACCCAUAAGAAUGAGGCCAUUCCUUCCCCUGGGUAGGUCACCCAAAGAAUGAGACCACUCUUCCUUUUUCCACUUGGGUAGGUCACCCAUCACAAUGAGACCAUCAUCUUUUCUGGGUAGGUCACCCAAAGAAUGAGACCAUUCUCCAUUCUUUUUUUACCUGGGUAGGUCACCCAAAGAAUGAGGCCAUUCUUCCCCCUGGGUAGGUCACCCAAAGAAUGAGACCACUCUUCCUCCUUUCCACAUGGGUAGGUCACCCAUUAUAAUGAGACCACUUUUUACACAUUCUUUUGUUCCAGUUGAAUGAGGUCGCCAGAUGGGAUCUCAUGUAGCUUUGGUUAAAGGGAAUCUCCAUAUGGGAUUUCAGGUUGACCGAGUUACACACAUUCUUUGGUUUUGGUUAAAGGAGGUCGCCAGAUGGGAUCUCAGGAUAAUAAAAAAAAAAGAAAAAAAAAAGGAAGAUUGCUGAUGAAGUGGAUAUUGAGCAAACAGAAAGAUAAGUUUUUCUUUACAAAGCUUACUAUGCAAAACAUCGAGGAUUUUUGCUUCGUAAGCAUUGUAAAGAGGGGGCAUCUGUUGCUACCCAAUUUUUGACCCAUGUUUUUGAUAUAUUUUCAAAAAAUCCAAAAAUAGAGAAAAACAAAGAAAAUCCAAAAAAAUAUGUUUUUUAAUAUAUUUUCGUCAUUUUAGCAUUUUCAACGUCGUCUAAAAAAGAAUUUAAAUUUUUAAGGGUCUUUCGAACACGUUCGACUUUUCACCCGUCAUUUUUAAAAUCAUUGAUUUUCCGUAUUUGAGUCGACGUUGAUAUUGCUCAUUUUCAAAAAAAUACAAAAAAACAAGAAAAAUCAAAUUUUACAAAAAAAAGAAAAUUAAGGGACCAAUUUUGAGACCGAAACAAUAUUUUUGCCUAUGUAUAGGGAAUUUUGAAUUUUGGAAGGAGGGGCAACCUAAGAAUUUUUUUUCUCUUCAGCCGAAACUAGCCGCUCCCCCUGGCCCAAGACCAUUAUUUAAUCCCUCUCUUUCGGCUGAAAAUUAGGGACUUAGCCCCCACCCAUGGUCUUCUUUUCCUGGUUUCCCGCCGACAAUGGAGGCCCCUCCUUACAUUGAAAACUUCUAUUUCUUCUCAUCCCCAGCUUUGCAAAAGGGGGGGAAGAUUGGAGCCAUUUUCGUCGGGUCCCGAGAGCAGUGGGCAGAGAAACUGAAACUCCUUUCCCCCCAUUUUUUUCUUCUCCUUUUCCAGCCGGCUCCCAGCCAACCAGACAGCCCCUCCAGCCGCCUCUCACUUGGCAAAGAGAGACUCUCCAAAACAAAACACACAGACCCGGCCGCUCAACCUUUUCUUCCCCCACACUGCACCUCCAAACAACGCAGCCCCUACCCUUUUUUUUACCCCGGCCAAACAACCCCCCAAAAACCCCCCUUGGUUUUGAAUGUUUUUUUCUCAACACCGGCCCCCAUCCUCUGCUUUUUUUUUUGUUUUUCUUUCAACACCGGAACCAUUUUCUUCUUCUCCAAACAGCCGCCGGUCAUCUCUUUCUCCUUUUGAAAUCAAAAGCCAGCGCCACCCCUUCUCCCCUCAUCACAGUUCUCUCCCGUUUUUUUCCAGCCCUCACUGUCUCCCUCGCCCCUCUCUCGGCCACGCCUCUAUUUUCGGUUGAAAAUCAGAGGGACCUUCCCGAUUCCCACAAAUCUUCCCCUCUCAGCCGUUUCUCCUUCAACCAAUUAGCAGCAGCCCUUCUUCGGCCGGCCAGCACCAGACCAUCCUCACUCCGGACCAUCGGUCUCUCCUCCACCACAGAGCAGUCCCCAUCAUCUCCUCAGACCACCACGGAUCUGGCCCCAGUCAGCACUGAAGGCAUCCCCUUC